CCCAUGCAAUAAUACAAAGUACUAAUAUUGACACCCUUCUCACCAGGCCUGCCUGGUGAGAGUGCUGAGAACACAAAUUUAUUCUGACUUUCACCUGCAGAGAAAUCCACCUCAUUAGGAUAACGAUUUUCCUUGAAGGAUUUUUGCCUUCAUUUCUCCAGGGUGAGAAUAAAAAAUCCCAGAGUGGCUUGGUUUGGAAGGGACCUUAAAGCUCAUUUAGUCAUGGGCCUAAAUCUCUACAGCACCCAGUGAAACAGGGAUGAUCUUUCAUUCUGCUUUUCUUUUGCAUCUAGACCAAAUCACAUCAGAUUUCAAGUGAUUACCUUCAGAGUAAGAUCUCCUCCAGGAUAAACCACUCCAGCAGGACAUUUCCAUUCCUUAUUUCCCUAACCAAGCUGAGCCACAGACAUCCCCAGAUGUGGCUCAGAAUGUUGUUUGUCUUCAUCCAGAAGAAAGAUCAAUUCUGUUGUGGAAACAGUGCACAGCAUGGGAUCACUCUAAUCAAUCUGAGCAGGCCUUGGUAAAAGUAUCUGGUAGUCUGCAAUCCAGCAGCAUCAAAGCUAAUUAAUACUUUAGUCAGCUUAAUGAAUGUAUUAGUGGUUAAUAUUUGUGUAUAAGCUCCUCAUAACUCAAUAAUCCUAUCCCAUUUGCAUUAUUAAUAGGACAGGUAUGAGCUGAUUGAUCAUAAAACCCAUUAACUCAGAUUUGUGCUGCCUUCAGUUCCCUCCACGGAAGAGCCGGAAUCGCUGAGGAUUGCAGGGAGCAGACUCUGUACAGGCCUUUUCAGACUCCAGGCUUUGUGUUCUACAAAGAGAAAUAAAAAAGUGCUUCAUCCUCUUCAGCAGCCUUGAAAGCUUUUGCUUAUUCACAGCCCCUCGCAACAGAGGCCAGAUAAUCCUCUGGAAGGGGAAAGCACCGUUCCAACGCUGCGGAGAGAGCGUGCAGGCAGAUGAAUUCCAUUGGAACAACAAUAAAAAACAGAGAUCAGGAAAAAGCAGCUCAUUCCUUUGGAGACUCAUCUUUUUAAUGCACCAUUUCCACAGGAUCUUCUAA
Molecule: long non-coding RNA, 1053 nt
Filed under: Cyanistes caeruleus (blue tit)
Lineage: Eukaryota; Metazoa; Chordata; Aves; Passeriformes; Paridae
Description: lncRNA (ENSCCEG00000020609.1)
Source: RNAcentral